Molecule: transfer RNA, 70 nt
Filed under: Camelus bactrianus (Bactrian camel)
Lineage: Eukaryota; Metazoa; Chordata; Mammalia; Artiodactyla; Camelidae
Also listed under: 2 other names
Rfam family: tRNA
About the family: Transfer RNA (tRNA) molecules are approximately 80 nucleotides in length.
Source: Rfam by way of RNAcentral
GAGGGUAUAACUCAGUGGUAGAGUACAUGCCUAAUGUAUGAGGUCCUGGGUUCAACUCCCAGUACCUCCA